UCAUCUUCGGGGGUAGAGCACUGUUUCGGCUAGGGGGUCAUCCCGACUUACCAACCCGAUGCAAACUACGAAUACCGAAGAAUGUUAUCACGGGAGACACACGGCGGGUGCUAACGUCCGUCGUGAAGAGGGAAACAACCCAGACCGCCAGCUAAGGUCCCAAAGUCAUGGUUAAGUGGGAAACGAUGUGGGAAGGCACAGACAGCCAGGAUGUUGGCUUAGAAGCAGCCAUCAUUUAAAGAAAGCGUAAUAGCUCACUGGUCGAGUCGGCCUGCGCGGAAGAUGUAACGGGGCUAAACCAUGCACCGAAGCUGCGGCAGCGACACUAUGUGUUGUUGGGUAGGGGAGCGUUCUGUAAGCCUGCGAAGGUGACCUGUGAGGGUUGCUGGAGGUAUCAGAAGUGCGAAUGCUGACAUAAGUAACGAUAAAGCGGGUGAAAAGCCCGCUCGCCGGAAGACCAAGGGUUCCUGUCCAACGUUAAUCGGGGCAGGGUGAGUCGACCCCUAAGGCGAGGCCGAAAGGCGUAGUCGAUGGGAAACAGGUUAAUAUUCCUGUACUUGGUGUUACUGCGAAGGGGGGACGGAGAAGGCUAUGUUAGCCGGGCGACGGUUGUCCCGGUUUAAGCAUGUAGGCUGGUUAUCCAGGCAAAUCCGGAUAAUCAAGGCUGAGGUGUGAUGACGAGGCACUACGGUGCUGAAGUAACAAAUGCCCUGCUUCCAGGAAAAGCCUCUAAGCAUCAGGUAACAUCAAAUCGUACCCCAAACCGACACAGGUGGUCAGGUAGAGAAUACCAAGGCGCUUGAGAGAACUCGGGUGAAGGAACUAGGCAAAAUGGUGCCGUAACUUCGGGAGAAGGCACGCUGGUGUGUAGGUGAAG
RNAcentral lists this ribosomal RNA (877 nucleotides) under Klebsiella pneumoniae. RNAcentral describes it as "partial 23S ribosomal RNA". It matches the Rfam family "Bacterial large subunit ribosomal RNA", at positions 890 to 1767 of the family's 2925-position model. The record is from RNAcentral. RNAcentral also lists the same sequence under 2 other names. Lineage: Bacteria; Pseudomonadati; Pseudomonadota; Gammaproteobacteria; Enterobacterales; Enterobacteriaceae.